AGUGAACGCUGGCGGUAGGCCUAACACAUGCAAGUCGAACGGCAGCACAGUAAGAGCUUGCUCUUACGGGUGGCGAGUGGCGGACGGGUGAGGAAUGCAUCGGAAUCUACUUUUUCGUGGGGGAUAACGUAGGGAAACUUACGCUAAUACCGCAUACGACCUACGGGUGAAAGCAGGGGAUCUUCGGACCUUGCGCGAUUGAAUGAGCCGAUGUCGGAUUAGCUAGUUGGCGGGGUAAAGGCCCACCAAGGCGACGAUCCGUAGCUGGUCUGAGAGGAUGAUCAGCCACACUGGAACUGGGACACGGUCCAGACUCCUACGGGAAGCAGCAGUGGGCAAUAUUGGACAAUGGGCGCAAGCCUGAUCCAGCCAUACCGCGUGGGUGAAGAAGGCCUUCGGGUUGUAAAGCCCUUUUGUUGGGAAAGAAAAGCAGCAGGUUAAUACCCCGCUGUUCUGACGGUACCCAAAGAAUAAGCACCGGCUAACUUCGUG
This 492-nucleotide ribosomal RNA is filed under the name uncultured bacterium. Its description in RNAcentral is "partial 16S ribosomal RNA". It matches the Rfam family "Bacterial small subunit ribosomal RNA", at positions 29 to 507 of the family's 1533-position model. The record is from RNAcentral.